Molecule: transfer RNA, 74 nt
Filed under: Carboxylicivirga linearis
Lineage: Bacteria; Pseudomonadati; Bacteroidota; Bacteroidia; Marinilabiliales; Marinilabiliaceae
Description: tRNA-Thr
Rfam family: tRNA
About the family: Transfer RNA (tRNA) molecules are approximately 80 nucleotides in length. Their secondary structure includes four short double-helical elements and three loops (D, anti-codon, and T loops).
Source: RNAcentral
GCCGCUGUAGCUCAGCUGGCUAGAGCAGCUGAUUUGUAAUCAGCAGGUCGGGGGUUCGAGUCCCUCCAGCGGCU